GACGUAGGGGGCAAGCGUUGUCCGGAUUUAUUGGGCGUAAAGAGCGUGUAGGCGGCCAUGCAGGUCAGCUGUGAAAACUCGAGGCUCAACCUCGAGACGUCGGUUGAAACCGUAUGGCUAGAGUCCGGAAGAGGAGAGUGGAAUUCCCGGUGUAGCGGUGAAAUGCGCAGAUAUCGGGAAGAACACCUAUGGCGAAGGCAGCUCUCUGGGACGGUACUGACGCUGAGACGCGAAAGCGUGGGGAGCAAACAGG
Molecule: ribosomal RNA, 253 nt
Filed under: uncultured bacterium
Lineage: Bacteria
Description: partial 16S ribosomal RNA
Rfam family: Bacterial small subunit ribosomal RNA
Source: RNAcentral